Molecule: long non-coding RNA, 217 nt
Filed under: Elaeis guineensis (African oil palm)
Lineage: Eukaryota; Viridiplantae; Streptophyta; Magnoliopsida; Arecales; Arecaceae
Description: long non-coding RNA (EGUI_LNC031873)
Source: RNAcentral
AAAGAAAUAGAAAAGAAAAAGAAGCGAAAAGCAAAAAAAUAAAAAAGAUCAAUCUUUGUAAGAAAAUGCCUUAUCUUUUUAAUUUUUUUUACUUUUUCCUUUGUUUUCGUUGAUUUUUUCUAUGAUUCUCCUUAUUUUUUUCCUAUUUUCUACGUCCUUAGAAGCCUAAUACUCUGUUUAGAUUGGGGGUACAUAGAGUUCAUAAAGAGAGGGGAGG